This 492-nucleotide ribosomal RNA is filed under the name uncultured bacterium. Its description in RNAcentral is "partial 16S ribosomal RNA". It matches the Rfam family "Bacterial small subunit ribosomal RNA", at positions 29 to 507 of the family's 1533-position model. The record is from RNAcentral.
AGUGAACGCUGGCGGUAGACCUAACACAUGCAAGUCGAACGGCAGCACAGUAAGAGCUUGCUCUUACGGGUGGCGAGUGGCGGACGGGUGAGGAAUACAUCGGAAUCUACUUUUUCGUGGGGGAUAACGUAGGUAAACUUACGCUAAUACCGCAUACGACCUACGGGUGAAAGCAGGGGAUCUUCGGACCUUGCGCGAUUGAAUGAGCCGAUGUCGGAUUAGCUAGUUGGCGGGGUAAAGGCCCACCAAGGCGACGAUCCGUAGCUGGUCUGAGAGGAUGAUCAGCCACACUGGAACUGAGACACGGUCCAGACUCCUACGGGAGGCAGCAGUGGGGAAUAUUGGACAAUGGGCGCAAGCCUGAUCCAGCCAUACCGCGUGGGUGAAGAAGGCCUUCGGGUUGUAAAGCCCUUUUGUUGGGAAAGAAAAGCAGCAGGUUAAUACCCCGCUGUUCUGACGGUACCCAAAGAAUAAGCACCGGCUAACCUCGUG